CCUACGGGAGGCAGCAGUGGGGAAUUUUGGACAAUGGACGCAAGUCUGAUCCAGCCAUGCCGCGUGUGGGAAGAAGGCCUUCGGGUUGUAAACCACUUUUGUCAGGGAAGAAACGGCUCACUCUAAUACAGAGGGCUAAUGACGGUACCUGAAGAAUAAGCACCGGCUAACUACGUGCCAGCAGCCGCGGUAAUACGUAGGGUGCAAGCGUUAAUCGGAAUUACUGGGCGUAAAGCGUGCGCAGGCGGUUAUGCAAGACAGAUGUGAAAUCCCCGGGCUCAACCUGGGAACUGCAUUUGUGACUGCAUGGCUAGAGUACGGUAGAGGGGGAUGGAAUUCCGCGUGUAGCAGUGAAAUGCGUAGAUAUGCGGAGGAACACCGGAUGGCGAAGGCAAUCCCCUGGACCUGUACUGACGCUCAUGCACGAACGACGGUGGGAGGACGAACAAGGAGUAGUAUACCGUACGGUAGUACCGACGACCCGUAACCGACUGUACACUGGUUGGUUGGGUAGGGUUCGUUCUCAGUAACGUAGCGUACGCGUGAGUUAGCGCCGNGGGUGGUACGGCCGCGAGUAGUUAACGUUACGAAGGAAGUUGACGGNGNGAGACGNGCGACGGACGACGACGAGGGAGGAGG
RNAcentral lists this ribosomal RNA (639 nucleotides) under uncultured bacterium. Its description in RNAcentral is "bacterial SSU rRNA". The stretch from base 1 to 555 matches the Rfam family "Bacterial small subunit ribosomal RNA", at positions 338 to 873 of the family's 1533-position model. The record is from RNAcentral.